GGGGCAGUGUCUAAGGUUUACCCUUUAAAAAGGCAUGUAGAUUCAAAGGGUGCUGUCAAGCCUCUCAAGAUCAUCAUUCUGGAAGGAGCUCUUAAAAAGGACAAAGAGAAAAAAUCGCACCUGCGUGUCAUGCUUUUCAAUAAAUGUGCUGAAGAGCUAGAAAGCGCCAAAGUUAAAAAAGGAAAUCUCAUUGGAUUUUAUGGAUUCCAUGUCAUUCCAAACGGUUCUGUAGAGUAUUCAAAAAUGUAUUCAAAACAGGAAUUUCUUCUGGAGUAUCAAUCGCUGUCAAAUGUCAUCCAAAGAGAAGGGUGAAAAUGUUCUUCUCAACAACGAGCUUGGAGACCACCUCUCAACUUGAUUCCAUUGAACAAACCAAAGAAUCAAAGAAUGAUAAGGUAAAGGUCACUAAAAGACCCAAGCUCCUCCCCUUAAGUCCUCAGCGGUCUUAUUAUGAGCCUCCAGAACCUAAAAGGAGCAAAAAUGAUGAAAGCAUACAUAUAGAGCUGAGUGAUUCUGAUGAAGGAGUAAAGGAAUAACUAGGACAACAAGGUCUAAUUCUCAAAAAUUGGGUGAAACAAAAGGAGUGGAUGGUGAGAAUAAUCGAAAUCGAUCAACUAAUGUCAGAAAAGAGAUGAAUGGUCAUCUUGAGAAAACCGUCAAAACUCUGCUGCAGCUAGUGUCACAAACGGAAAAAAAGUUGAUGUCAAAAUCAUUAAAGGAAGUGCAAAAAAUUCAAAUGAAUUUCUAACAAUCGCUAACCACCUCACUUACAAGUAUACAAAAUUAAUAGAGGCACCAAACUGCGAGAAAAUGCAUUGUUAUGCAGUUGUAACAGAAACUGGGACUCCACAUGCAGGUCCAACAAAAAAUGUUCUCAGGAUAAAGGUAACCGAUGACUCUCUGGACGAACAAGACAUCAAAGUAUCAAUAUUCUAUGAAAAGGGUUGGGAAUCUCCGCUAAUAAGAAAACAUCAAAUAAUACGGUUUCAUCGACUCAGACUGGAAUUAUUCAAUGGAAACAGGGAUGGAUCUGUCAAUUCACAAGAUUUUAUGGUAUUUAAUCCAGAAGAGUGUGAUGCAACUGCUAAAAAAAUUAGAGGGACAUCAUGGGCGAAAAAGUAUGUCACAUUUACAGAGGAAGAUGCUGAUAUAAUUUUCAAGAUGAAAGAAUGGAUAAAUUCAAAUCUAGAGGCUGAAGCUGAGACACAGUCACCUAAACACAUUGAAAAUGACAUGAUUUUGACACUAGAAGAAAAUGUUCCUGUUAUUGAUAAUGCUGAAAAAGUUGAUGCGUUAUUUGAAACCAUUGAUAAGAAGUUGUCCGCUGAAGAUUUUACAGACCUUGAAUACGAGUCUGUUUGUCACAUAUUUUGUCAGAUUGUAGAAUCCCACAAGCUAG
Molecule: long non-coding RNA, 1399 nt
Filed under: Bemisia tabaci
Lineage: Eukaryota; Metazoa; Arthropoda; Insecta; Hemiptera; Aleyrodidae
Description: lncRNA ENSSSA2NGG002367
Source: RNAcentral